AGGCUUGUAUGAAUGGUUGGACAAAAAGUAAGCUGUCUCAUCUACAGAGUUUGAAUUUAACUUUUAAGUGAAAAGGCUUAAAUGUUCUAGGGGGACGAUAAGACCCUAUAAAGCUUUACAAUAACUGAAAUACAUUAAGAUUUGUUAGUAUAAUUUGGUUUAUUUUGGGUUUGUUUCGUUGGGGCGACGAGAAUAUAAGUUAGAUAACUGUUCUUUAUGUGUGUAUACAAUGUUAAUUGGUUAAAAAUUGAUCCUUUACUAAAGAUUACAAGAUUAAGUUACUUUAGGGAUAACAGCGUAAUCU
RNAcentral lists this ribosomal RNA (304 nucleotides) under Aristeus alcocki. Its description in RNAcentral is "partial 16S ribosomal RNA". The record is from RNAcentral. Lineage: Eukaryota; Metazoa; Arthropoda; Malacostraca; Decapoda; Aristeidae.